RNAcentral lists this long non-coding RNA (665 nucleotides) under Monodelphis domestica (gray short-tailed opossum). RNAcentral describes it as "lncRNA (ENSMODG00000033221.2)". The record is from RNAcentral. Lineage: Eukaryota; Metazoa; Chordata; Mammalia; Didelphimorphia; Didelphidae.
CUUUCGCAGCAGAAAAACAACAAUGUAAGCAGUAUUGAGGAUAAGUCAUCCAAAGCAAAUGAAGAAGGUAAUCAGCUCCAGCAGGGAAGGGACUCUAUCAUUCAACAAUACCAGCUUUGUUCCUUUGAGACUAGAGGAGGCUUUUUAAAAAGAAGGCCUCUCUGGACCUCCAGAGCAGAGAAGAAAAUAACUUUGAAAAUGCUGCUGAUAUUUCUUUUUGCUACCUUCCUGGCCUUAGCAAAUUCUGCUCAGAAAACUCAGCAUGUGGACAAUGGUUCACCAGCUGAUCAAAAAGAACCCGAAACAGACUGGGGAACCGUUGGUUCAUGUCCUAAAGUGGAAAUGCAGCAAGGUUCCAGUAAGACGAAAACUUCAAAGAGUUCGGAUUGCAAAAACACCUGUAAAGCAGAUUCUGAAUGCAACAUGUCUAUGAAAUGCUGCAGCACUGGGUAUGGAUGCAAAACAUGUCAGUUUCCUUUGAUGAUUGAUCCACCUAAACAUGAAAAAACAAGUAAGCGCAAAUACUGAAUGAAGAUAUAGUUCCAGAAAGGAGCCAUCAGAUUUCUUUCCAGACACCUCUAUUUGCUAAAUUUCUGUUGUCAUCAAUAUUAAUCAAUGAAAAACUUCAUAUUAUUAAACUAGCAUCUAUCAGCAAUUCCUGUUUC